This 253-nucleotide ribosomal RNA is filed under the name uncultured bacterium. Its description in RNAcentral is "partial 16S ribosomal RNA". It matches the Rfam family "Bacterial small subunit ribosomal RNA", at positions 524 to 776 of the family's 1533-position model. The record is from RNAcentral.
CACGUAGGGCGCAAGCGUUGUCCGGAAUUAUUGGGCGUAAAGAGCUCGUAGGCGGUCUGUUACGUCUGCUGUGAAAACCCAGGGCUUAACCCUGGGCUUGCAGUGGAUACGGGCAGACUAGAGGCAGGUAGGGGAGAAUGGAAUUCCCGGUGUAGCGGUGAAAUGCGCAGAUAUCGGGAGGAACACCGAUGGCGAAGGCAGCCUCCUGGGCCAACACUGACGCUCAUGCACGAAAGCGUGGGGAGCAAACAGG